Molecule: long non-coding RNA, 904 nt
Organism: Callithrix jacchus (white-tufted-ear marmoset)
Lineage: Eukaryota; Metazoa; Chordata; Mammalia; Primates; Cebidae
Source: RefSeq, a predicted model, not a curated record
CCUCCGGCGUUUUCGCUCGGUCCCGUGGAGUUAGUUGACCUGGUCUCUCCUCCAGUCCACCUCAACUCUCCUAAGUCUUUCUUAGAGAGGAAAGAAUGUUCCGGCUGCUGCAUCCUCACAAAUCCCCUCCCGCUACCCCUGGCUUUUGAUGGUAGUGGAGCCGCCCGUCGUCCGGAAAGUGGUGUAGGGUCUGAGUCGGCCAGCUAAGGCGAAUGGAUCUGGGACUGCAGAUUUGUCCCCAAGCCAGAGCAGGGGAAAGGAACGACUGUUUGCAUCUGGGUGUAAUUCUAGCCUCUUUGCACACCCAGCCCGACUGGUGGCCUGAGCCGCACUUGUCCCCCUGCCUUGACCACUAGCAACAGGCUGCGAGGCCGGGAGGCCCCAGAUGGUGUCAAAAGCAGGAUGGAAGUGGAGCUUCUAGCAACCUUCAGGAAUGCUGAGUGAACAUGCUAGGUACCUCCAGGACCCACUUGUGUUCAUGGAUCUCUCAGAGCCACUGGGGAUUGUGGGAUGUGUUUAUGAAGCCUAGAUGCUUUGAAGUCCCUGUAACAUCCCAAUCCUAGAAGAAUGGAAACUACUGAAGACAUAUGAAGUUGGCAGAAUCCACUUGAGCAACUCAAAAAAGGAAAUCAUGUGUUCUCAUUUUUCAUCACCCUCCUAUGAGAGUUCUUGACUCCACAUCAAAAUGGAGAACAGAGGUUCAGAAUGAUACUUACAAUGGCAAAAAGACACAAAGAGUUGAGAGCCAAGCUUGAAGAAAGGAAUGACCCUUAAUACAAAACAUAUUGGAGAAAGUCAUCUUCCACCGAAAGCAGUUAUUAAAGAUUUGGUCGUUUAAAGAAACCUUGUACCUUUGCCCUCUCGAAUAAAAAAAGUGUGUAUUUAUUUAAUUAUAAUCACUUUG